GUCUACGGCCAUGCUACCCUGAACAAGCUCGAUCCUGUCUGAUCUCGGAAGCUAAGCAGAGUUAGGGUUGGGCCUGGUUAGUACUUGGAUGGGAGACUACCUAGGAAGACCAGGUGCUCUAGGUG
RNAcentral lists this ribosomal RNA (125 nucleotides) under Pteropus alecto (black flying fox). The record is from RNAcentral. Lineage: Eukaryota; Metazoa; Chordata; Mammalia; Chiroptera; Pteropodidae.